Molecule: long non-coding RNA, 677 nt
Filed under: Acyrthosiphon pisum (pea aphid)
Lineage: Eukaryota; Metazoa; Arthropoda; Insecta; Hemiptera; Aphididae
Description: uncharacterized LOC115035088, transcript variant X2
Source: RNAcentral
UGUGCGCAGAGUGUGGAAAAGGCAAAUCACAAGACGAGAGGCUGGAUUACAUUCUUUGAACUUAUUAAAGAACCAUUGUAACGUUUCUCUCUGUUCAUUUACUAGCAAUCCAAGAGCAGCUAUCUCACUCUGGCCAUUACCAUCCUCAAUUAAUAGCACAUACAAUGGGAUUCUCAUAUCCACCAGCUUGAAAUGCUUUAAAUUCUUCCUUCAUCCUUAAAUCUUGAAGAAACAUGCCUAAAAAGUUCCCAUCACUGUCUGUCAACAGUUCAACAUGACAACCAUACAUCUUUUUGACAUCUUCCACCGUUUCUUCAAAACUUUUCACACAUUUUCGUUUCUCUAGAAAAUGGAACAUUCCACAUUUAAUUUCAGCUUGUACUUUGGCUUGAAUAAGCUUUUUAUUUGCCUUCAUUUCCAUCAGUUCAAGUACAUCAGCUUUCAUUUGUGGUUCCAAGCGGCGUUGAUUUGGCAAAUUGGAGAACAAUAGUUCUGAGGUCUCGUGGUUAUGUGACUCAUUCAUUUGAGAAAUCUCUAACUUAGUGCCAUCAGUUGUAACUCUUACAUAGAUGAAAGCAGGACAAUUUUGCUUCAUUGUACUACAUUAUAUAGAAUAUAGUAAAUAUCUGAAUGAUGAUGAAAGCAAUAAAAAAAGUAAAAUAAUUGUAUAAUACUUA